CCUGGGGAGGAAAAAAAAAAGGGGGGGAAAUAAUGAGCAGUGCGUUGGUAAUACAUGGACAUUUAAAUACAAAAUCCACUAUCAAGAUGCAAAAAUAACCCAUUAAGUUAUCAUUUACAGUUAUAUUUCACAAUAUGUUACUAUAUGGAAAAAUCUCAAACAUUUGAAAGGCUCAGCAUUAAAAAGAAAAAGGAGAAUAUGUAAUGUACGGUUGGAAAGUCACAGGAUCAUUGUCCAGUUAAUGAUACAAACAGAACAACACCACUGGAGGUGUGGAGCCACAUCUUGGCCCAGGCAUUGAUCCCUUCAUUCUGGUGGCACGAAGAGGCUGGAAGAAUUUUGCAAGGCCUUAUAAAUAUAUUUGAAUAAAACCUAGUAACUUACAUUGGGGUUUUUUUGCGGUCACCAGCACAUUUUGCCAUCUGAACCUUGUUUUUACAGUUACUAAUGUUAACUGGUUUCAGAGUAACAGCCGUGUUAGUUAUGUAUUUGCAAAAAGAAAAGGAGUACUUGUGGUUAACUGCUACUUUCACAAGUGCUUGCUUGCAUUCCCCCUUGCCUAUAAAGGUAAAGUCCACCAGAACUGAAACUUUGUACUGUACAAAUACAUUCGUAAAGACUUAUCCUGAGACCUGCCUGUCCAGUCAUGACUUACAAGUAAACCUGUUAAGUGGUAUUUAAUUUAUUCCCAAUGUAUUCAGCAUAUACCAUGCAGAAAGUGAGACACAAAUUGGUUGUUUAAACAAUGGGUCAGUUCUUUACGAUAUUUGAGAUAGUGAAGAUUCAUUCCAGUAUAUAAGCUGUUUUGUGUCCCACUUUUCCAAUACUACUUCUGUACAAGUGAGAAGAGGGCAAAUCUGUUUUUUUUAAAAAAACCUACUUCAUUUGAAAACAACUCACGUAAUAAUGCAUCCAAUGAAGUGAGCUGUAGCUCACGGAAGCUUAUGCUCAAAUAAAUUUGUUAAUCUCUAAGGUGCCACAAGUCCUCAUUUUCUUUUUUCGGAUACAGACUAACAUAGCUGCUACUCUGAAACCUGUCACAUAAUAAUGAAUGUGUCUUUUUAGUACUUAUGUCAGACCUUAAGCAACUGGAUAUGCAAAGGAGAAUUUUCACUUUUUUUUUUUUUUUUUAAAGGAAGUUAAUAGCCCUUUUCCUUGUGGAGGCAGGCUUGAAAAUGCAAAUGAUCAUGAAACCAAUUGCUCAGGUUGAAAGAAACAAGCAGCUGGGUUCCACUUCUGCCCCAGGCACACAGGUGGUGAACUAAAGAGCCCAGGCCCUACCGCAAUAAGAUAAAUCAGUUCCAGUUGGAGUAUACACCAAAAUGGCAUGUCGCUCCUGCAUUUCUCAGGCUAGCCCUGUGUAUAGUUGCAGGACUGUGGUGCAUGGAAACUGGCAAAAAUGUUCCAAAAGACACUGACCCCCUCCCCCCACCCCCAAUUCAAAAAUAUCAGGCCUGGUUCUGCAAAGUAAGCCAGCCACGGGCUGGAAACGCCUGACAGGAAUUGCUUCUUUCCCUCCCCAAACAUGGCACUAGUAGCAGAGUUCCGUUAUUACAGGAGAGGGCACCCUACUAACGACCCUGCCAUUGGUGCCAGCGCUCUCCUCGAGCUGUAGGUAGGGAAGGAACUGGAUGUUGUGUUGGGCAGAGCGUGUCUGAAUAGCUGUGCCCUAACACCCAGGCUGUGCCUACAGUAAGAGAACUCAAACCAGCAAUUCUUCACUGGCGCAGCUCCUUCUGGGGGAGCCAGUGAUUACACAGACCUAUGUCUGCAACCCCUGCACAGGGGUUGCAGUCUCUAUUCCAGUCCAGGGGCUACGGAAAGGCCAGAGGGGAGCUGAAGGCUCCCCUGUCACCUGCACAUGGGCAGGGUGGGUGGAUUUCAAACCCCCAACUCACCGGCAGCAACUCUGUGCAAAGCCCACUUAGUCGGGCUUGGUGCAGGGUGGUAGGGUGGCUGCGGGGAAAUUCCCUUUCUAAGUGGAGUUUCACUAUAACAGAAUUAACCAUAAACAGGCUUUACUGUGCUGUUGACACUGGGCAUCACAGCUCAGUGUAACUUCUAUGUAAAAGUAACUAGCUCUGUACAAGUCUAGCAGAAUUUCAUCAUAUUAUAUAUUCUUGAUGCCUGUUUAAAACACAAACCACACUAGAAUCUAUAGAUUAUCAUAUGCCCUAUAUGGUAACAUUCCCUAUUGCUUUUUAACCUUGUUUUUAAAGGUUGGGGUGUGGCUAUCAUGCUCCAAGCAGCCCUGGAGAUCAAAAGCCCUUUGCUUAUCUACAGAUCAGAUUAAGCAGCUGCAGUGGCAACACUGGCUACCCACCUAAUGCCCCUCAACAGGGGCAUCCAAGUGUUUUACAGAGAGUUGUUAAUAGUGGUAUCCCCAUUUUAGAGAGACAGAAACUGAGGCACAAAGGCGUUGAGGGCAUCUGCGCUACAGUGUAAGCCCAGAGUUCGAACACAGCCUCAAGCCUAACUCCCCUGCCUUCCAUCGUCUCACAAAUUGCGCUAACUCAGGCGCUGGAUCCAGGACCCCACAGGGAUAGAGGGCCCAAGCCUGAGAGGUGCACGUAAAUGGUUAUUAGCUUAUGUUAGUAAAGUCUUGAGAUACCAUUUUAAAAGAAAGGCCAUCAGGAAAAUUUGAAUCUAUUAUAUACGUUAUGUACUUUGCUGCACCAAUCUCUGCUUGCGACUGUGCUGAACCAGCACUGUUAAGCCCUCAGCCGUGCACACGUACAAGAGGCAUGGAUUUUCUAGAUCAGCAAAUGUCUGGCCAAUCUAAAAUAACAUCAAAUAUAACUAUGAUUGGAUGAGAAACUACAAUGUGACCAAACAAGAUACUAAGUCAGUAUUAAUAAAUUCAGUGGGCAUGUGGUAAGGGUAUUACUUUCUUGUAAAAUAUCAUGAUUUUGAGCACUGUAUAUUGCUCUGACAAAGUGUUUAGGAAUAAUUUUAAAAGGUGUUUGUUUGUUUUUAUAUAUAUAUAUUCUCUGA
Molecule: long non-coding RNA, 2994 nt
Organism: Chelonia mydas (Green sea turtle)
Lineage: Eukaryota; Metazoa; Chordata; Testudines; Cheloniidae
Exons: 2
Source: RefSeq, a predicted model, not a curated record